GGUCAGGAAUGGGGUUGAUCCUGACCUGAUUGACUGAUGAGUUGUUACAUAACUUGGGAUGGUCUGUUCAUAUAUCCAUGAUUUUAAGCUUAUGUAGGACGCAGGCAUGCAGACAUCAAGGGAUGAUAAAUAGGGUAUUUUCCCCUGUCAUACGACUUCAAGGACAGUCACACUCACAGAGCUCAUGCCCCGUACUAGUUUAAGUUGGCCUUGUUAAUCUCUCCUACCAGGAAAUGCCUGACCCCAAGUUAUCCACAGGAGGGGCCCUGCAACAGAGCUAGGCUGUUUUAGUGGCCUGUCUCAGAUUGGUGCUAAUGCUUUAUGGUUUUAUACAGUCACCUUCCCCAGCUUGCCACAUCUUGUUUCCAAUUGUGUUGGCCAAAGUCCCAGCUUGUUUAGAGGGGUCCCCCUCUCCUAGGGCUACCCCAGGUAUUAUGAUUUGCUGGCCUGGUCUAUCAUUUGGGUAUCCUGUCCCUUUAAGAGACAAGCCCCGCUCUCUUCCAACUCCUCCCCUUCCGCAGAGGGAAGCAGAUAUCCUGCCUCCUCCAGCCUGUACUCUUUAGGUCUCUCUCCUGAAGAGGUAACUUCUGCUCUCUCUCCCUCCUCUCUCUUCUUCCCACUUCUCUCCUUCUGCUCUUUCCCUUUUCCUUCUAUAACCAACUAAAUAAACUCUAUACCCAAACCUUCUCUCUGCAUGACAUAUCUGUCUGUCUCUCACUAAGGCCUCAGGGGACUUGCCAAGGCCCAGGGUACCUGCCACUACCCCCCCUCCCCCGUGGGACCACCACCUCUCGUGGGACCAGUCCGCCACAACUAUAUCUUUAAGAAGGAAUAACACCAGGUUGUUCCCCUUGCUCUGCUUCCAGACAGCAUGGGUUGGACCAGUUCCCAGGGAAUUGCUGUGUUGUGCUCCACCAGGAGACAGGGGGAAAAAAAAAACGGACAAAGUCCAGAAGCUGAAGGAAUUUUUCAAAAACUGAUAAGAUGUACAAGGACCAUCUGCACCUACAUCUUCCACGGCGGAGGGAAAAUGGCAGUAAGAUCUGGAGUAAGAAGAUGCUGCUCACUCUCAUCCUAUUCUGAUAAGGAAAGAGGCGGGGACCACCGGAACCGAAGCUGCCCCUCCUCCACUCACCUUGAUGGAUUCGGUGUCAGGGGCCAGGAAAACACCUCAGCCAAAGCAGACUAGCAGGCGCCACCCAAACACCUGCUUGGCCUAGAAAGUGGCACCAGGCACAGAAGUCUGCGAGGUGAGCAGUUCGGAGUCCCCAUCUCUCCUACCAGCAACAAUGUUUCAGUUUGCUGGGCUGUCAGGGAACACAUGAGCGAUAAAGACGGGGAGAGUGUGUG
Alexandromys fortis (reed vole) is the source of this 1350-nucleotide long non-coding RNA. RefSeq lists it as uncharacterized. The transcript is spliced from 5 exons. Lineage: Eukaryota; Metazoa; Chordata; Mammalia; Rodentia; Cricetidae. The record is from RefSeq and is a predicted model, not a curated record.